Molecule: ribosomal RNA, 492 nt
Filed under: uncultured bacterium
Lineage: Bacteria
Description: partial 16S ribosomal RNA
Rfam family: Bacterial small subunit ribosomal RNA
Source: RNAcentral
AGUGAACGCUGGCGGUAGGCCUAACACAUGCAAGUCGAACGGCAGCACAGUAAGAGCUUGCUCUUACGGGUGGCGAGUGGCGGACGGGUGCUGAAUACAUCGGAAUCUACUUUUUCGUGGGGGAUAACGUAGGGACACUUACGCUAAUACCGCAUACGACCUACGGGUGAAAGCAUGGGAUCUUCGGACCUUGCGCGAUUGAAUGAGCCGAUGUCGGAUUAGCUAGUUGGCGGGGUAAAGGCCCACCAAGGCGACGAUCCGUAGCUGGUCUGAGAGGAUGAUCAGCCACACUGGAACUGAGACACGGGCCAGACUCCUAAGGGAGGCAGGAGGGGGGAAUAUUGGACAAUGGGGGGAAGCCUGAUCCAGCCAUACCGCGUGGGUGAAGAAGGCCUUCGGGUUGUAAAGCCCUUUUGUUGGGAAAGAAAAGCAGCAGGUUAAUACCCCGCUGUUCUGACGGUACCCAAAGAAUAAGCACCGGCUAACUUCGUG